RNAcentral lists this ribosomal RNA (493 nucleotides) under uncultured bacterium. RNAcentral describes it as "bacterial SSU rRNA". It matches the Rfam family "Bacterial small subunit ribosomal RNA", at positions 30 to 517 of the family's 1533-position model. The record is from RNAcentral.
AUUGAACGCUGGUGGCAGGCUUAACACAUGCAAGUCGAGCGGCAGCAAGCCUUCGGGCGUUGGCGAGCGGCGGACGGGUGAGUAAUGCAUAGGAAUCUGCCUGGUAGUGGGGGAUAGCCCGGGGAAACUCGGAUUAAUACCGCAUACGCCCUACGGGGGAAAGGAGGGGAUCUUCGGACCUUUCGCUAUCAGAUGAGCCUAUGUCGGAUUAGCUAGUUGGUGAGGUAAAGGCUCACCAAGGCGACGAUCCGUAACUGGUCUGAGAGGAUGAUCAGUCACACUGGAACUGAGACACGGUCCAGACUCCUACGGGAGGCAGCAGUGGGGAAUAUUGGACAAUGGGGGAAACCCUGAUCCAGCCAUGCCGCGUGUGCGAUGAAGGCCCUCGGGUCGUAAAGCUCUGUGGAGAGGGACGAAAACCCUGGUUUCAAAUAGGCUCCAGGCUUGACGGUACCUCUUUAGCAAGCACCGGCUAACUCUGUGCCAGCAGCCG